GCAAGAGUAACUCAGUUGGUAGAGUGGGUCUUUGAAGCAGAUCUGGUCGUCAGUUCGACUCUGACCUCUUGCACCA
This 76-nucleotide transfer RNA is filed under the name Pseudomonas viridiflava. Its description in RNAcentral is "tRNA-Phe". It matches the Rfam family "tRNA". From Rfam's summary of the family: Transfer RNA (tRNA) molecules are approximately 80 nucleotides in length. The record is from RNAcentral. RNAcentral also lists the same sequence under 1 other name. Lineage: Bacteria; Pseudomonadati; Pseudomonadota; Gammaproteobacteria; Pseudomonadales; Pseudomonadaceae.